AAUUGGCAUUGAAGCUCAGAGCAAUUGCACAGGUCAUCUACAUUCCUCAAUUCUUUUGCUAAUUCCCAUGGAGGAGAUCUUUUAUGUUGUGAUAAUUGCCCAAGAGCUUUUCACACAGUGAGAAGGACUUUGAUGAAGUAUUGCAGUCACAAACUGUUUAUUCAAAUGUUUCGAAGGGGGUUCUUGCCAAGUCAAAAGAUUUAGUAGCAGCUUUUGGGACAGAUGAUCAGACAAAUAUAUGCUUGGAGAUUUUGGACAAAGGAGAGCUACAAGUUGCUGGAAAGGAAAGGGAUUCUCAAUUAUCGAGUCAGUUUCGGAUAUUGCUACCAUAGUUAUGCAGAAGACUAUUAACCCGGAGACUCAACGCCCUUAUACUAUUAGCAUGAUUGAGCGUCUGAUGCAUGAAAUCCAUUUUGCGGUUGAUCCCCAUAGUAGCUCAAAAAAACAGGUGAGUUCAUUUGUUUGGUUGUAGAUUGACAAGAGAUUUAUGG
Molecule: non-coding RNA, 491 nt
Organism: Camellia sinensis
Lineage: Eukaryota; Viridiplantae; Streptophyta; Magnoliopsida; Ericales; Theaceae
Source: RefSeq, a predicted model, not a curated record